UGGGGAAUUUUGGACAAUGGGCGAAAGCCUGAUCCAGCAAUGCCGCGUGUGUGAAGAAGGCCUUCGGGUUGUAAAGCACUUUUGUCCGGAAAGAAAUCCUUGGCUCUAAUACAGUCGGGGGAUGACGGUACCGGAAGAAUAAGCACCGGCUAACUACGUGCCAGCAGCCGCGGUAAUACGUAGGGUGCAAGCGUUAAUCGGAAUUACUGGGCGUAAAGCGUGCGCAGGCGGUUUGCUAAGACCGAUGUGAAAUCCCCGGGCUCAACCUGGGAACUGCAUUGGUGACUGGCAGGCUAGAGUAUGGCAGAGGGGGGUAGAAUUCCACGUGUAGCAGUGAAAUGCGUAGAGAUGUGGAGGAAUACCGAUGGCGAAGGCAGCCCCCUGGGCCAAUACUGACGCUCAUGCACGAAAGCGUGGGGAGCAAAACAGGAUUAGAUACCCUGGUAGUCCACGCCCUAAACGAUGUCAACUAGUUGUUGGGGGAUUCAUUUCCUUAGUAACGUAGCUAACGCGUGAAGUUGACCGCCUGGGGAGUACGGUCGCAAGAUUAAAACUUAAAGGAAUUGACGGGGUCAUAGCUGUUUCCU
Molecule: ribosomal RNA, 587 nt
Filed under: uncultured bacterium
Lineage: Bacteria
Description: partial 16S ribosomal RNA
Rfam family: Bacterial small subunit ribosomal RNA
Source: RNAcentral